Molecule: ribosomal RNA, 254 nt
Filed under: uncultured bacterium
Lineage: Bacteria
Description: partial 16S ribosomal RNA
Rfam family: Bacterial small subunit ribosomal RNA
Source: RNAcentral
GACGUAGGGCGCGAGCGUUGUCCGGAUUUAUUGGGCGUAAAGAGCUCGUAGGCGGCUUGUCGCGUCGGAUGUGAAAGCCCGGGGCUUAACUCCGGGUCUGCAGUCGAUACGGGCAAACUAGAGUAUUGCAGGGGAGACUGGAAUUCCUGGUGGUAGCGGUGAAAUGCGCAGAUAUCAGGAGGAACACCGGUGGCGAAGGCGGGUCUCUGGGCAAUAACUGACGCUGAGGAGCGAAAGCGUGGGGAGCGAACAGG